RNAcentral lists this ribosomal RNA (431 nucleotides) under uncultured bacterium. Its description in RNAcentral is "bacterial SSU rRNA". It matches the Rfam family "Bacterial small subunit ribosomal RNA", at positions 28 to 479 of the family's 1533-position model. The record is from RNAcentral.
GAUGAACGCUGGCGGCGCGCCUAACACAUGCAAGUCGAACGGCACCCCUCUCCGGAGGGAAGCGAGUGGCGAACGGCUGAGUAACACGUGGAGAACCUGCCCCCUCCCCCGGGAUAGCCGCCCGAGAGGACGGGUAAUACCGGAUACCCCGGGGUGCCGCAUGGCACCCCGGCUAAAGCCCCGACGGGAGGGGAUGGCUCCGCGGCCCAUCAGGUAGACGGCGGGGUGACGGCCCACCGUGCCGACAACGGGUAGCCGGGUUGAGAGACCGACCGGCCAGAUUGGGACUGAGACACGGCCCAGACUCCUACGGGAGGCAGCAGUGGGGAAUCUUGCGCAAUGGGGGGAACCCUGACGCAGCGACGCCGCGUGCGGGACGGAGGCCUUCGGGUCGUAAACCGCUUUCAGCAGGGAAGAGUCAAGACUGUACC